RNAcentral lists this ribosomal RNA (482 nucleotides) under uncultured bacterium. RNAcentral's name for it is "bacterial SSU rRNA". It matches the Rfam family "Bacterial small subunit ribosomal RNA", at positions 29 to 506 of the family's 1533-position model. The record is from RNAcentral.
UUGAACGCUGGCGGAAUGCUUUACACAUGCAAGUCGAACGGCAGCACGGGGGCAACCCUGGUGGCGAGUGGCGAACGGGUGAGUAAUGUAUCGGAACGUACCCAGUCGUGGGGGAUAACUAUCCGAAAGGAUAGCUAAUACCGCAUACGUCCUGAGGGAGAAAGCGGGGGAUCGCAAGACCUCGCGCGAUUGGAGCGGCCGAUAUCGGAUUAGCUAGUUGGUGAGGUAAAGGCUCACCAAGGCGACGAUCCGUAGCGGGUCUGAGAGGAUGAUCCGCCACACUGGGACUGAGACACGGCCCAGACUCCUACGGGAGGCAGCAGUGGGGAAUUUUGGACAAUGGGCGCAAGCCUGAUCCAGCCAUGCCGCGUGAGUGAAGAAGGCCUUCGGGUUGUAAAGCUCUUUCGGCGGGGAAGAAAUCGCACGGGUUAAUACCUCGUGUGGAUGACGGUACCCGAAUAAGAAGCACCGGCUAACUACGU